Molecule: long non-coding RNA, 1151 nt
Filed under: Capsicum annuum
Lineage: Eukaryota; Viridiplantae; Streptophyta; Magnoliopsida; Solanales; Solanaceae
Description: long non-coding RNA (CANN_LNC021610)
Source: RNAcentral
CACAAUGUAGUCUUUAAAGAGUCUUUGUUUAGGGAGAGAUUUCUCCCAAUAAGUUUUAGUAUUUUCAAUUUUAUUUUUAAUAUGUAGGCCGUUUGGCCAAACCAUAUCCAAUAAUAUAUUUUUAGUUUAAUUUUUCAUGUGUCGUCUGAUUCAUCGUCUUAUGGUUUGCAAAUUAAAAGCUUCCGCUUGAUGCCCUCUUGAUUUCGAACCCAACAAGUGGUACCAGAGCUUACGGUUCAAUGGUCCAAUGGUGUGGUGAGACAAGAUUAAACAGGUUCAAAGCGGUUUCAAAAUCAAGUUGCAACAAUUUGAAUGAUAAUGAAGAUUUUUGUCGAACUACAUGUGGAGAACAAGUUUCAACCAUAUUUUCAACACUCCUGCUGCUACAUCUUUAAAAAUAAAAAUAAAAUAUUACUUUUAAACUAAUUUUUAACCAUGAUAUUUUAAACCUUAUUUUUAACCAUGGCAAGUAGCAGUUAUGAAGAUUAUAUCAAGAACGAAGUUUAUGCACGUGAUAUGAAGAGAAGACGGAUCAAGUGAAGAAAAUCAAGCCAAAAAGGAGAGAUUUGUUAGGAUUUUUGCCCUGAUUUUCUUACUAUAUUUAAGUUUUAUUUUUUCUUAGAAGGAAAAUAAAAGUUACCAUAAUUACUUUUACUUUUCCUGAAAGAAAAAAAUAUAAUUUUUUUCCAUAUUUGGCUAACCUCUUUCUUGGAGGAAAGGUUUGAACAUCUAUAAAUAGAAGACCCCCUUCUCAUAUCAUAACACAAUAGCAUUCAUAAUGUAGUCUUUAAAGAGUCUUUGUUUAGGGGGAGAUUUCUCCCAAUAAGUUUUAGGAUUUUCAAUUUUAUUUUUAAUAUGUAGGCUGUUUGGCCAAACCAUAUCCAAUAAUAUAUUUUUAGUUUAAUUUUUCAUGUGUUGUCUGAUUUAUCGUCUAAUGGUUUGCAAAUUAAAAGCUUCUGCUUGACGCCCUCUCAAUUUCGAACCCUACACAAUCCCUACGCUACCACCACAGAUCCCAUUGAAAUCACAAACAUGGAUCGCAAGGUAAAACUUUUAGGGUCGAACCAACAAAAUUUGGGUCAUAACUCUAGCACUAAUAUUUACCCUUUGACAUGAUUCUGAAAAGAAAACAGUCAGAUCUUCCUAUAACA